AGCGGUUUGCAAGGGGCUCUUGGGCCUUUGGCCACAGACUGAAGGCUGCACUGACCAUUUUCCUACUUUUGAGGUUUUGGGACUUGGACUGAGCCGCUACUGGCUUCCUUGCUCUUCAACUUGCAGACAGCCUGUAGUGGGACUUCACCUUGUGAUCAUGCUGCUGACUAACUUAAUGAACUGAACGGAUUAAAAUGGUGCAAGAGAAAAGGGCAUUUUUACACAAAAGGAAGCAUUUUCUGUGUUCCAGUUCAGCUGUUCCAAUGACAUUUGGUGGUGUUAUCAGUGUGAAUUAUACAAGCAAGUUUCUUUAUCCAGACUGACGCAUCAACCAUGAUCUAGCAUUUGCAAGAUGUGUAAUUACUUUGACUUUCAAGAAAACAUCUUCUGAUCUAAGGAACUUCCCAAGAUAUCAAAGCUGGCUGGCUCAGGAAUACUCUCACAGUGAUGGCAGAAGAGCAAAUCUGGAAGUUCAAACACUCAAAUGUGUUGUUGGAUUUCUGCAUGCAUCACAUGGGCUAACAACUGGUCAAAGCAAAUCACAUGGCCAAACUAAAAAUCAAAGGCCUGGAAGGUAGACCCUACUUUUCUAUUAAGAUGAACUGCCUAGUAACAUAGGAAAAGGUGGUGAAACCAUGAAAGAUGAAAAAUACAGGGCUGCAAUGUUAUCUACCUCAUUUAUUUUGAUACUCUAGACCUAAGGGGAGUAGUGGAUUAACACGGGUACUAGUCUCUGGGUGUUGUGCCAUCUGUUGUUGGUUUCCUUAACGAUGACAAACUUAUAAGUAUAUUCUUUCAACUAAAUUCAUUUGAGUAUAAUGUUUUCAAGACAAUGGAUUGAUAUACAGUAGACAUAGCUUAUGUAAACAACCUGUGUAUCAAUCCUGUUGACUUAGGCUUUUACCAAUAGUUGUUUUCUAUCGAACCUUCAUUAAAGCUCCACAUGGUUAAUAAUCCAGGGUCUCUUUCAUGUAGCUUCAUCUCCGUUGUUUUAAGUUCUCUAAUUUUAGGAAGUCCAUGGUUUUAUAUUAAGCUGAUAUGGUUAUGCUUAAAACCAGCAUGGGACCUGGAGAAUGACACACAAGAUAUCCAACCAAUGUAGUUUUUUAUGUAAUUUCUCUUGUUUGAAUAGAUGUACCAUUCAUACUUCUACUACUGUAGAGACGGGUUCACAGGUAGGUAGUGACUAGGAGACAUCUACUUUGAAAACUAAUAAAAAUAUUUGGCUGUCUAAAAAAUAUGCACUACCCAAAUCAGUGCAGUAUAGGGUAAAUAAUUUUAAAAAGAAUGUUAGGGAGCAAAUUCUUGGUGGUUUCUUACAUUUAUGCAUUAUCUUACAAAUGAGGACACAUUUGUACCUUUUUCCAAACUGUGUUUUUAAAAGUGUUUGUAUAAGAGCCUUAGAAAAUAUAGAGUAUCUACUUUUGAAGAGCAAAAAAUAAACAUUCUAACUGAACAGUUAAAAAUAAUGGGCAUACAUAAACUCGGGAUUUUUCUGCAGUAAGGAAGCUUACCGCUUAUGCAGGUUUAACUAUCCCUCUUCACAUUACCCUGUGAAAACUGGGUCUCAGAAACUGGUGCAGAAAUGCCAGUACUCUAGCUAUGCUGAUUGUUGAUAAUAAAAAACUCUUCUUUGUAUCUGAUUCAGGAGUCUUUUAUCUUCUACUGUAAUUCAUACAAUUUUGAAAAGAUACCUACUUAGAUUUCUCGUAGGGUAAAAACUUUCUAAUCUUUCACAGUCCUUAAACACAGCUAUACAUUUUCUACUUGAAUUCCUUAAAUAACCACUUACUUUGAGCACAAACCAUGAUCAAGACAAUAUUAUGCACAUUGUAAUUUAUUAGAACUUGCUUUCCACGAAUUUUAAAAUGUCAUGUAAAAUAUAGAUAUAUUGAAAAGUUUUGUUAAACACACAUAUUCUAUGCAAAUGGAGAAAUUGAAAUUUUAUGAUGUUAUAGCUUAUGUUUAAAGUCACUCAGUAUCUCAGCUUUUUCAUCUGUAAAAUGACAUUAAUAGUAAUAACUAUUUUGUAGGGUGUUAAUUGGUAUAAAUUUUGAAAGUACAUAGGGUUUGAUAAAUGCAGUGCUAAGUGAAGGUUUUCAGUGAGGAUACAUUUUAUAACUGUUAAGUGUAUGGACACAGGCAGGAGUCAAAUUGCCUAGUAGUCCAUCUUUAAAGCAUAUACUAUGUUUCUUCUUAAAAAUUAUGAUAUUUAUUUUAUUUACAUAUUAUAUCUGUUUUUAACAUCCUUGAAAUUUUAUGUUUUAUAUAUAGUUAUGCACAUAUUACAUUUUGUUUACAUAGCUAUAUAAAGUCAAGUAAUGAUAAGAUUAAGACAUCUUUAUCCUGAACUAUCUAACUGUUAUUUACAGACAGACAAAGUGCUAUAUUGAAGGUUACAGAAGAAUAAAGAAGUUCUGAAUAGAACAGAAGCUUUCAUAAGGCAGGGGUUAUAACGACCAACAGAGACUCCACAAAACCAUUUACUCACAAGAGAAAAUAUGGCACGGAUUGGAUUAGAAGUGGAAAGACUAAUGCAUUUUUGUCCAUAAGGAUUAGAAGAAAAAUGGUUCUCUCAGCUCUGCAAGUGAGCACAACAAGCAAUCCAAAAGCAUUAUUUGUGUGAAGCAGUUUGUAGAAUUUGUUCCAUUUGUCACUAGAACUAGUGUUUGAAGCUCAGCAAAAGUUGAGUUAUGGUUAAGCCCCAGGGUCAGUGGCCACGUGUUCAGAGUAGUACCUUAGGUUUAAAGCUGAUUCACAACCUGAAAAACACUCAGUGGUGUUCUCUCCCAAAUUAUCAAUCAUUACCUUGUGGUGUUUUAAAAAGAGGAUAGAAGAUUGCUUGACC
Molecule: long non-coding RNA, 2848 nt
Filed under: Homo sapiens (human)
Lineage: Eukaryota; Metazoa; Chordata; Mammalia; Primates; Hominidae
Description: HSALNT0403365
Source: RNAcentral